This 301-nucleotide ribosomal RNA is filed under the name uncultured bacterium. Its description in RNAcentral is "partial 16S ribosomal RNA". It matches the Rfam family "Bacterial small subunit ribosomal RNA", at positions 509 to 807 of the family's 1533-position model. The record is from RNAcentral.
CAGCCGCCGCGGUAAUACAGAGGGUGCGAGCGUUAAUCGGAUUUACUGGGCGUAAAGCGUGCGUAGGCGGCUUCUUAAGUCGGAUGUGAAAUCCCUGAGCUUAACUUAGGAAUUGCAUUCGAUACUGGGAAGCUAGAGUAUGGGAGAGGAUGGUAGAAUUCCAGGUGUAGCGGUGAAAUGCGUAGAGAUCUGGAGGAAUACCGAUGGCGAAGGCGGCCCCCUGGACAAAGACUGACGCUCAGGUGCGAAAGCGUGGGGAGCAAACAGGAUUAGAUACCCCAGUAGUCCCUGUCUCUUAUAC